RNAcentral lists this unclassified non-coding RNA (256 nucleotides) under uncultured fungus. Its description in RNAcentral is "partial contains 5.8S ribosomal RNA, internal transcribed spacer 2, and large subunit ribosomal RNA". Lineage: Eukaryota; Fungi. The record is from RNAcentral.
AACGCACAUUGCGCCCUUUGGCAUUCCGAGGGGCAUGCCCGUUCGAGCGUCAUUAAAUCCAAUCAAGCCUGGCUUGGUAUUGGGCGUCGGGGUCCCCCCGCGCCCCAAUUUCGCCGGCUGGCCGUCGCCCGUCGUAGCGUUGUGAUACACCUCUCGCUGCCGACAAACGCGGACCACGCCGUCAGAACCCCACGAAUUUCAAUCGAAAUUCGAUUAGGUUGACCUCGGAUCGGGUAGGAAUACCCGCUGAACUUAA